UAGAGUUUGAUCCUGGCUCAGGAUGAACGCUAGCGGCAGGCUUAACACAUGCAAGUCGAGGGGUAACAGGAAAAAGCUUGCUUUUUUGCUGACGACCGGCGCACGGGUGCGUAACGCGUAUACAAUCUACCUUUUACAGAGGGAUAGCCCAGAGAAAUUUGGAUUAACACCUCAUGGUAUCAUUUGAUGGCAUCAUUAAAUGAUUAAAACUUCGGUGGUAAAAGAUGAGUAUGCGUUCUAUUAGCUAGUAGGUAAGGUAACGGCUUACCUAGGCAACGAUAGAUAGGGGUCCUGAGAGGGAGAUCCCCCACACUGGUACUGAGACACGGACCAGACUCCUACGGGAGGCAGCAGUGAGGAAUAUUGGACAAUGGAGGUAACUCUGAUCCAGCCAUGCCGCGUGCAGGAAGACUGCCCUAUGGGUUGUAAACUGCUUUUGUACAGGAAGAAACCUUUCCACGUGUGGAGAGCUGACGGUACUGUAAGAAUAAGCAUCGGCUAACUCCGUGCCAGCAGCCGCGGUAAUACGGAGGAUGCAAGCGUUAUCCGGAAUCAUUGGGUUUAAAGGGUCCGUAGGUGGAUCGGUCAGUCAGAGGUGAAAUCCUGCAGCUCAACUGUAGAAUUGCCUUUGAUACUGGUUAUCUUGAGUCAUUAUGAAGUGGUUAGAAUGUGUAGUGUAGCGGUGAAAUGCAUAGAUAUUACACAGAAUACCGAUUGCGAAGGCAGAUCACUAAUAAUGUACUGACACUGAGGGACGAAAGCGUGGGGAGCGAACAGGAUUAGAUACCCUGGUAGUCCACGCCGUAAACGAUGGUCACUAGCUGUUUGGACUUACUUCGGUCUGAGUGGCUAAGCGAAAGUGAUAAGUCACCCACCUGGGGAGUACGUUCGCAAGAAUGAAACUCAAAGGAAUUGACGGGGGCCCGCACAAGCGGUGGAGCAUGUGGUUUAAUUCGAUGAUACGCGAGGAACCUUACCAGGGCUUAAAUGUAAUAUGACGGAUUUAGAGAUAGAUCUUUCUUCGGACUACUUACAAGGUGCUGCAUGGUUGUCGUCAGCUCGUGCCGUGAGGUGUCAGGUUAAGUCCUAUAACGAGCGCAACCCCUGUUGUUAGUUGCCAGCGAGUCAUGUCGGGAACUCUAACAAUACUGCCGGUGCAAACUGUGAGGAAGGUGGGGAUGACGUCAAAUCAUCACGGCCCUUACGUCCUGGGCUACACACGUGCUACAAUGGUAGGGACAGAGAGCAGCCACUUCGCGAGAAGGAGCGAAUCUACAAACCCUAUCUCAGUUCGGAUCGCAGUCUGCAACUCGACUGCGUGAAGCUGGAAUCGCUAGUAAUCGCAUAUCAGCCAUGAUGCGGUGAAUACGUUCCCGGGCCUUGUACACACCGCCCGUCAAGCCAUGGAAGCUGGGGGUGCCUGAAGUCGGUGACCGAAAGGAGCUGCCUAGGGUAAAACUGGUAACUGGGGCUAAGUCGUAACAAGGUAGCCGUA
RNAcentral lists this ribosomal RNA (1495 nucleotides) under uncultured prokaryote. RNAcentral describes it as "partial 16S ribosomal RNA". It matches the Rfam family "Bacterial small subunit ribosomal RNA". The record is from RNAcentral.